This 393-nucleotide ribosomal RNA is filed under the name uncultured bacterium. RNAcentral's name for it is "partial 16S ribosomal RNA". It matches the Rfam family "Bacterial small subunit ribosomal RNA", at positions 355 to 764 of the family's 1533-position model. The record is from RNAcentral.
UGGGGAAUAUUGGACAAUGGGGGCAACCCUGAUCCAGCAAUGCCGCGUGUGUGAAGAAGGUCUUCGGAUUGUAAAGCACUUUCGACGGGGACGAUGAUAACGGUACCCGUAGAAGAAGCCCCGGCUAACUUCGUGCCAGCAGCCGCGGUAAUACGAAGGGGGCUAGCGUUGCUCGGAAUGACUGGGCGUAAAGGGCGUGUAGGCGGUUUACACAGUCAGAUGUGAAAUCCCCGGGCUUAACCUGGGAGCUGCAUUUGAUACGUGUAGACUAGAGUGUGAGAGAGGGUUGUGGAAUUCCCAGUGUAGAGGUGAAAUUCGUAGAUAUUGGGAAGAACACCGGUGGCGAAGGCGGCAACCUGGCUCAUGACUGACGCUGAGGCGCGAAAAGCGUGG